This is a non-coding RNA of Pelobates cultripes (western spadefoot toad), 239 nucleotides long. Lineage: Eukaryota; Metazoa; Chordata; Amphibia; Anura; Pelobatidae. The record is from the annotation of a GenBank genome assembly.
CUUCUGUCCAAACCUUUUGCAGAAAUCUGGGUAUCAUGGGUAGGGGAGGGAACGCAUACCCCCGAUCGAAUGACCAAGGAAAAGAAAGAGCAUCCUGGACCAUCGCCCAAUUGUCUGGAUGGAGAGAGUAGAAUUUAUCUACAUGACAGUUCCUGGAAGUCGCCAUCAGGUCGAUCUGGGGUAUGCCCCACCGAUGGGAAAUCCCUGAGAAAACUGUCGGGUGAAGCCUCCAUUCUCCU